This 497-nucleotide ribosomal RNA is filed under the name uncultured bacterium. Its description in RNAcentral is "partial 16S ribosomal RNA". It matches the Rfam family "Bacterial small subunit ribosomal RNA", at positions 28 to 507 of the family's 1533-position model. The record is from RNAcentral.
GAUGAACGCUGGCGGCGUGCCUAAUACAUGCAAGUCGAGCGAACAGACGAGGAGCUUGCUCCUCUGACGUUAGCGGCGGACGGGUGAGUAACACGUGGAUAACCUACCUAUAAGACUGGGAUAACUUCGGGAAACCGGAGCUAAUACCGGAUAAUAUAUUGAACCGCAUGGUUCAAUAGUGAAAGACGGUUUUGCUGUCACUUAUAGAUGGAUCCGCGCCGCAUUAGCUAGUUGGUAAGGUAACGGCUUACCAAGGCAACGAUGCGUAGCCGACCUGAGAGGGUGAUCGGCCACACUGGAACUAAGACACGGUCCAGACUCCUACGGGAGGCAGCAGUAGGGAAUCUUCCGCAAUGGGCGAAAGCCUGACGGAGCAACGCCGCGUGAGUGAUGAAGGUCUUCGGAUCGUAAAACUCUGUUAUUAGGGAAGAACAAAUGUGUAAGUAACUAUGCACGUCUUGACGGUACCUAAUCAGAAAGCCACGGCUAACUACGUG